GAGCGAACAGGAUUAGAUACCCUGGUAGUNCACGCCGUAAACGAUGAGUGCUAGGUGUUAGGCCCUUUCCGGGGCUUAGUGCCGCAGCUAACGCAUUAAGCACUCCGCCUGGGGAGUACGACCGCAAGGUUGAAACUCAAAGGAAUUGACGGGGGCCCGCACAAGCGGUGGAGCAUGUGGUUUAAUUCGAAGCAACGCGAAGAACCUUACCAGGUCUUGACAUCCCGAUGCCCGCUCUAGAGAUAGAGUUUUACUUCGGUACAUCGGUGACAGGUGGUGCAUGGUUGUCGUCAGCUCGUGUCGUGAGAUGUUGGGUUAAGUCCCGCAACGAGCGCAACCCUUAUUGUUAGUUGCCAUCAUUCGGUUGGGCACUCUAGCGAGACUGCCGGUAAUAAACCGGAGGAAGGUGGGGAUGACGUCAAAUCAUCAUGCCCCUUAUGACCUGGGCUACACACGUGCUACAAUGGUUGGUACAACGAGUUGCGAGUCGGUGACGGCGAGCUAAUCUCUUAAAGCCAAUCUCAGUUCGGAUUGUAGGCUGCAACUCGCCUACAUGAAGUCGGAAUCGCUAGUAAUCGCGGAUCAGCACGCCGCGGUGAAUACGUUCCCGGGCCUUGUACACACCGCCCGUCACACCACGAGAGUUUGUAACACCCGAAGUCGGUGUGGUAACCUUAUGGAGCCAGC
RNAcentral lists this ribosomal RNA (687 nucleotides) under uncultured bacterium. RNAcentral's name for it is "bacterial SSU rRNA". It matches the Rfam family "Bacterial small subunit ribosomal RNA", at positions 766 to 1453 of the family's 1533-position model. The record is from RNAcentral.